GGAAAAUUAGUUAAACAAAUAACAUAUGCUUGUCGAGCUUAAGUUGCUUUACUUUUUAGAAGCAUUUUCUU
RNAcentral lists this transfer RNA (71 nucleotides) under Tectus pyramis. Its description in RNAcentral is "tRNA-Asp". The record is from RNAcentral. Lineage: Eukaryota; Metazoa; Mollusca; Gastropoda; Trochida; Tegulidae.